Salvia splendens (bonfire salvia) is the source of this 474-nucleotide long non-coding RNA. RefSeq lists it as uncharacterized. Lineage: Eukaryota; Viridiplantae; Streptophyta; Magnoliopsida; Lamiales; Lamiaceae. The record is from RefSeq and is a predicted model, not a curated record. The transcript has 3 exons.
GUCCGCUGCAUUGAACUCAGCGGCCCGCCGAAAGAAGAACAGUGAGGACAAACCAUUCUCAGCGGUCAGCUGUACUGCAGUCAGGGACCGCUGAGGCGAGUCAGACACGACAUUUUAUUUAAGAUCACCUUCUCAAAUUCUUUGGAUUCUACCAAAUUGUUCUUGUGCUCAAUUGUCAACCAACGCAAGGUACAAAAGCAUCCCAAAGGAAUUCCCGCGAUAGGGGAUAACUCAUGAACUUCAAAGAACGUCAAGCUAAAGAUGAAAAAUAAGCGCUUGUUGGGAGGCAACCCAACCAUGUAUUUUCAGGUUUUGCAGUAUUUUUGUGUUUUAAAUUCGUUUUGUGUUGAUUGAAAUUUUUGCAGCUUCUGGACCAUUCCCAGCGACCGCUGUGGCACGUGCAGCGGCCCGCUGGCGACUCACUGGACAAGUUCUGACACUCCACAGCGACCGCUGGAGGGCCCCCAGCGACCG